This is a long non-coding RNA of Globicephala melas (long-finned pilot whale), 1482 nucleotides long. RefSeq lists it as uncharacterized. Lineage: Eukaryota; Metazoa; Chordata; Mammalia; Artiodactyla; Delphinidae. The record is from RefSeq and is a predicted model, not a curated record.
CAAGGAGACCCCCGUCAAUAACCCGGAAGAUCGUGGCCACCAAUGUCCUGGGGAGACCCCCUCAAUGACCCAGGAGAUCUCACCCUCUCCAAUGACUGGAGACUUCAAUGACAGAGGGAGAUCCCGCACCACCAAAAUAUCCGGGAGACACCCCCCCCGCAAUGACCAGUGCUGCUUGGCUCGCGGGAUCUUAGUUCCCCGACCAGGGAUCGAACCCGUGCCCCCUGCUGUGGAAGCGUGGAGUCCUAACCACUGGACUGCCAGGGAAUUCUGAGAAGGUGGUUCUUGAAGCAGGAGGAAGUUCGCCAUGGUGAAUUCGGCUGAGACUCCAGAGAGCCGGCUCUGCCCUCAUCUGUGCAUCAGCUAUGUCUGCCCGUGUUAGCCACUCGGGAGGGCAGGGUUGCGCUGUGACAAAUGGGAGCUUCCUAGAUGCUUCUGUAACCAUAAUUAUGUGAUGCAAGCUAAAGCAGUGAGGAACAUUGCAUGCUUGUGUGUCCAAACUACUCACUUUAAGAAGAGGCAAUGGGAGCCAUAUAGAGAAGAGCAGCAUGACCAAGGGCAACAACAGGCACUGGAAGCAUGAUCAUCCUUGAAAUAGGAGACUGGGGCUGCUGUCCAUGUGAGUCCAGAAACAUGAGGAUAAGCUCCAUAGCACUGGAGGAAAGGUCCAGGAAUGCCCUUCGGACCCCAGCGUCAUUACUCUUGAUAAUUCCUGGGAUUUAAACAGUGUCAGGAAUGGCCACAGCAGGAUCUUAGUUCUCCAACCAGGGAUGGAACCCAUGCCCCCUGCAGUGGAAGCGCAGAGUCUUAACCACUGGACAGCCAUUGAAGUCCCAAUAUUCAGGAACUGGACUAUUGGAUACUGGACACUUGGAGAAAGAAGGGAUGUUUCUAUGUGAACACAGCAGGACUAUGUCAUCUAAGUUUGAGACUUUGCAGAGCGCAGCAGCCCUCACUCCCUCUGUUCCCACACAGCCCUGGACACCUGUCUCCAUCAUUGCUCUUUCCACACAGCCAAGGCGUCUAUAUGGCUGUUCAUAGGCUAUUGUCAGUUCUCAAAAAUGUUUGCUAAAGGAACACAUGAACCCAUUUCUGGUUGGUCACAAAAACUGUUCAAGCCUAGGUGUGAGUGAGAGCUGACAGAGUAAGUCAAGGCUUGCUGAUGGGAAAAAAAUACUGCAUGUUAGAAAAAAACACAACACUAAUGCAUAUAGAAUUUUUCUUACCUAAGCAUUUCACAUCUCCCACUGCAUAAGCCGAAGCAGCUCUGGGUUUGUUGGUGACCAGUGCAAGCUCUCCAAAGUAUUGCCCCUUAUGGCAGCGGGCAAUCUCGACCUCUUGGUUCCCACCAUCCUUGUUUGCUUUAGUCUAGAGCAGGUGGAGAACAUGACCAGGGCUGAUUCCAGAAUCACAACUAGGCACAUCCAGUUGCACACACUUACAUUCCCUUUUCAGUACACUUAACAAAUUACUUACAAAUUC